GAUGAACGCUGGCGGCGUGCUUAACACAUGCAAGUCGAACGAAGCACUUUAUUUGAUUUCCUUCGGGACUGAUUAUUUUGUGACUGAGUGGCGGACGGGUGAGUAACGCGUGGGUAACCUGCCUUGUACAGGGGGAUAACAGUUGGAAACCGCUGCUAAUACCGCAUAAGCGCACGGCAUCGCAUGAUGCAGUGUGAAAAACUCCGGUGGUAUAAGAUGGACCCGCGUUGGAUUAGCUAGUUGGUGAGGUAACGGCCCACCAAGGCGACGAUCCAUAGCCGACCUGAGAGGGUGACCGGCCACAUUGGGACUGAGACACGGCCCAAACUCCUACGGGAGGCAGCAGUGGGGAAUAUUGCACAAUGGGCGAAAGCCUGAUGCAGCGACGCCGCGUGAGCGAAGAAGUAUUUCGGUAUGUAAAGCUCUAUCAGCAGGGAAGAUAAUGACGGUACCUGACUAAGAAGCACCGGCUAAAUACGUG
This 481-nucleotide ribosomal RNA is filed under the name uncultured bacterium. RNAcentral's name for it is "partial 16S ribosomal RNA". It matches the Rfam family "Bacterial small subunit ribosomal RNA", at positions 28 to 507 of the family's 1533-position model. The record is from RNAcentral.